UGGCUUAGCUGGUAAAGAACCUGCCUGCAAUGCAGGAGACCUGGGUUAGAUCCCUG
RNAcentral lists this transfer RNA (56 nucleotides) under Ovis aries (sheep). It matches the Rfam family "tRNA", at positions 8 to 63 of the family's 71-position model. Rfam says of the family: Transfer RNA (tRNA) molecules are approximately 80 nucleotides in length. Their secondary structure includes four short double-helical elements and three loops (D, anti-codon, and T loops). The record is from Rfam by way of RNAcentral. Lineage: Eukaryota; Metazoa; Chordata; Mammalia; Artiodactyla; Bovidae.